GUUGCUGAGGGAGAGGCAGUUAAGACUUGCAGUGAUGUUUAGAUAAUUUAUUACAUAAACAUCACUUUAAGUCUGUGCUAUUUCUCUCCUCACUGU
RNAcentral lists this microRNA precursor (96 nucleotides) under Ophiophagus hannah (king cobra). Its description in RNAcentral is "microRNA oha-mir-499 precursor". Its record names the gene oha-mir-499. The stretch from base 7 to 86 matches the Rfam family "mir-499 microRNA precursor family". The record is from miRBase by way of RNAcentral. Lineage: Eukaryota; Metazoa; Chordata; Lepidosauria; Squamata; Elapidae.